GAUGAACGCUGGCGGCGUGCCUAAUACAUGCAAGUCGAGCGAACAGACGAGGAGCUUGCUCCUCUGACGUUAGCGGCGGACGUGUGAGUAACACGUGGAUAACCUACCUAUAAGACUGGGAUAACUUCGGGAAACCGGAGCUAAUACCGGAUAAUAUAUUGAACCGCAUGGUUCAAUAGUGAAAGACGGUUUUGCUGUCACUUAUAGAUGGAUCCGCGCCGCAUUAGCUAGUUGGUAAGGUAACGGCUUACCAAGGCAACGAUGCGUAGCCGACCUGAGAUGGUGAUCGGCCACCCUGGAACUGAGACACGGUCCAGACUCCUACGAGAGGCAGCAGUAGGGAAUCUUCCGCAAUGGGCGAAAGCCUGACGGAGCAACGCCGAGUGAGUGAUGAAGGUCUUCGGAUCGUAAAACUCUGUUAUUAGGGAAGAACAAAUGUGUAAGUAACUAUGCACGUCUUGACGGUACCUAAUCAGAAAGCCACGGCUAACUACGUG
This 497-nucleotide ribosomal RNA is filed under the name uncultured bacterium. RNAcentral's name for it is "partial 16S ribosomal RNA". It matches the Rfam family "Bacterial small subunit ribosomal RNA", at positions 28 to 507 of the family's 1533-position model. The record is from RNAcentral.